CCCUGUGGCUCAGUUGGUAGAGCAUGGUGUGUGCAACACCAGAGUUGUGGGUUCAAUUCCCAUAGGGG
RNAcentral lists this transfer RNA (68 nucleotides) under Salmo salar (Atlantic salmon). It matches the Rfam family "tRNA". Rfam says of the family: Transfer RNA (tRNA) molecules are approximately 80 nucleotides in length. Their secondary structure includes four short double-helical elements and three loops (D, anti-codon, and T loops). Further hydrogen bonds mediate the characteristic L-shaped molecular structure. tRNAs have two regions of fundamental functional importance: the anti-codon, which is responsible for specific mRNA codon recognition, and the 3' end, to which the tRNAs corresponding amino acid is attached (by aminoacyl-tRNA synthetases). tRNAs cope with the degeneracy of the genetic code in two manners: having more than one tRNA (with a specific anti-codon) for a particular amino acid; and 'wobble' base-pairing, i.e. permitting non-standard base-pairing at the 3rd anti-codon position. The record is from Rfam by way of RNAcentral. Lineage: Eukaryota; Metazoa; Chordata; Actinopteri; Salmoniformes; Salmonidae.